UCUAACAGACUUGUCAACACUUUUAGUUCAUUGAUUCUGUUUACCCCGAAAUUGGAUAAUCAAUUAAAUUUGUGAGUGGGUAUAAGAUAUGUGGUUAAGUCGCAAUCUACUUGGUAAAAGAAAGUGUUAUAUCCCGUAUUUCGCAUAUUUGAAAAAAAUCUGAAAUAAUUGUGACUUGCAAGAGAUGAGGUAAUAUUUUGAUUUUGGUUAAUAUAUAUGUUGAGGUUCAUGAAAAAUAUUGACGCGAAAAUAUCGAGGAAGGCUAAGGGCAAAAUUGGAAUUUUGAAAAUUAAUUUCGUGAAUUACAAAUUAUUUAACCAAGUAAUUGGACUAGGAAAAAGUCACAAAAAAAAAUAUAGAAAAGAGGCCCAAGCCCAUGGGCCAAAUUAAUUCAAUACAACAAAUAAAUAAAGGGGGCCAUUAGUCAUCUUCUUUUAGAAGAUUCAAGAAAACAAAACAAUUGAGAGCAAGAGCCAAGAGAAAGGGCCAUACGGCCAAAGAAAAGAAAAGAAAAAAAAAAUUGGAGCUCAAAUCUUUAGUUCAAAAAUUCAUCUCUUGUGGAAUUAAUACUAAGCUCAAAGCCCUCUUCAUUGUGAUACAACUUUGGAAGCAAGAAAGUACUUUUUUUACCAAGUGGAGAAUUUGGAAAAGAUUUUGGAGGAAACGGGAUUUGAGUUUGGACAAGCGUAAGAAGCAAAUAAGGUACAGACGCUUAUUGUGGUGAUCCGCCAGUCUAGGGUGCCCUUUCUGCUACCUCGGAGUGCUCCUUUGAUCCGGAGCCCACGCUUUUGGUAUAGAUCGUUCUGUUGUACAUAUUUAUGUGUAUAUGACUAUUCAGGGGUACGGCUGGGCCCUGUCCCGCCAUAUGAUUCUGUUGUCUGUAUUAGAGGCCUGUAGACAUGUAUGUGGGUCAUGGGUCGUUUUGUCCGGUUAUGUUAAUUUGGUUCAUGUUUGGCAUUUCCCUACACUGCGAUAACUUGAUCGGUUUGUGGACUAUAUUAUAAGUAACGAUAUAAGUGAUAUGUUGCCUAGCAUGCACGAAGGUCCUUAAUAUGUUAAGCGCAAACAGAUUUUGGUUAGUAAAUAUGUACGAGUGUCCAUCUCGAGCACUAGUCGCGGCCUACGGGGUUGGGUCGUGACAGAAAGAUAUAAAUAUAGAUAUGAUGUGAAGAGA
Long non-coding RNA from Lycium barbarum (goji berry), 1174 nucleotides. RefSeq lists it as uncharacterized. The record is from RefSeq and is a predicted model, not a curated record. NCBI's taxonomy places the organism in Eukaryota, Viridiplantae, Streptophyta, Magnoliopsida, Solanales, Solanaceae. The transcript has 3 exons.